Molecule: long non-coding RNA, 7741 nt
Organism: Oncorhynchus tshawytscha (Chinook salmon)
Lineage: Eukaryota; Metazoa; Chordata; Actinopteri; Salmoniformes; Salmonidae
Source: Ensembl
CACACUCUCUCUCUUACACACACAAACGCACAAGUAAGACAAAUAAACAGUCGCUCCAUGAGGAGGUAAUGCAUGGUUUAACAGGGGAAAGGCUUUUAAGAGGCUGCUGAAGUCAGCUCAAUAUGGAAUACACCAUUUCAGGACGAGGAACAGGAAGAGAUCAGCCAGACAGGGUCACACUGUGGGAAAGGAAUCAAUCAGGGAUAUCUCCCACACACAGCAUAUGCAGCAGACGACUUUCUUCCACCUGGCCAUGGAGAUGUCAACAACUACUGUAGUUCCAGUACCUGUUCCUGCAAGCUGAAUUGAAAUUAUUAUAAUUAUUUGGGGCCUUAUUUCUGCCAUAUUCUGUGUUAUAUAUUGUCAGUUUCUUUAUAAAGAUUGUUUGUUUACUGUUCAUAAUCACACUGAAAUGUAAACUAUUUUGGCUCCAAUUUAAACAUAUUUAUGCAUCGUUGUUCAGUAUAAUAAUUUGUUCUAGUAGUGAUGAAUUAAUCCAAACAACACCAGCAGUUGCUGUUAAAAGUAUUUUUUUAAAUAGUGACAAUCUCGUUUGAAACAAUUAAGCUUUAUUUGUUGGAGCUCAAUGGAAUUAGAAUAAAACAGAAGGGAGUGGAGGUGUUGAUGUCAGUUAGUUUACUCCAAUCAGGGGAGGGGUAGUAAGGUAGUAGUAAUAAUAAAUAAAGAACUAAUAAUAAAUAAAUAAAUAAAUAAAUAAAUAAAUAAAUAAAUAAAUAAAUAAAUAAAUAAAGGGGGAUUAGAAAUUAUGGAAGUAAUUACUUUAAUAGAACCUCAAAUUUAUCUGCAAUAUGAAAACUGAGCCCCCUAAGUAGUUCGUAAGUCCGACAUUGUGUUUAAGUGCUUUGAAGUCAGAACAUUUCUUCAACCAAUAAGAUCAUAGAUAGCUAGGUAAGCUAACUAACAUUGCUAAAGUAAAGUUAGUUAGCUAGCUUUCUUAACAUUGACAAUAUGGUCAAACUAGCUACAUUAUCCACAAGUGUGUAAUUGCCAACAACGGAUUUGUUGUCAUCUUUUGGUUGAAAAGGUGAAAGCCAAUGGUGAAACGUCACAACUCUUCUCAGAGUUUCCCACUUAUAAAUACGACUUGGAUGGUCAUUCAAGGGACAUUUCCCAGUCGGAACUCAGAAGUUCUGCUAAGUCAAUUGCAUGAUGUGAACGCCCCAUAACACAAAAACUGAAACGAAAUCAUUUAAAAACGAAAUAGAAAUAUUUUUAAAACAAAAACUAAAUACAAACUAGAAAAUCAGAUCGGAAAACUAGCUGAAACUGAAUUUCAUAUAAAAAUCGUAAAACAAACAGAAAUAAUAACUAAUAUAAAAACACAAAACUGUAAUAGCCUUGGUGCAAAAAUUCCUUUGAAAGAGGGUAAGGGGUUAAAGUUCCAUCCUGUUAUUUUCUUCAGUGUUGCCUUGACUGACAGAGGUGACUGGCAGAGGGCCUGUGAUUUCACAAAGCAAGAGGUGCAUUGUGGGUCUCAGUGUGACCACCUUGGCUUCACAGACAAAUCGAUUAGUGCAGGUUCAGGGCUGAGGCUCAGAGCGCUUUGCAUAUGGAACACAAUAUGGGAAGAGGGCUCUGCCAAGUAAACACACACACGCGUACACACACACACACACACAUCUAAAAAUGCACACACAAAUACACACACUCACAUAAAUGCAUAUACUGAUCAAUAGUAUAAAUUCAACAUGCAAAGAUGUCAAAGAUUUUACUGAGUUACAGUUCAUAUAAGUAAAUCAGUCAACAGAAAUACAUUAAUUAGGCCCCAAUCUAUGGAUUUCACGUGACUGGGCAGGGGUGUAGCCAUGGGUGGACCUUGGAGGGCAUAGGCCCCCCCACUUAGUAACCAGGCCGACCCACAUGGGAGACAGGCCCGGCCAAUCAAAAUUACAUUUUCCUCAAAAAAGGGCUUAAUUACAGACAUAAAUACUCCUCAGCACCACCCCAGCACCCCUAAGACGAUCUCACAGGUAAAGAAGCCUGAUGUGGAUGUCCUGGGCUGGCAUGGUUACAAGUGGUCUGCGAUUGUGAGGCUGAUUGAACAUACUGCUAAUUUCUCUAAAACGACAUUGGAGGCUGCUUAUGGUAGAGAAAUUAACAUUAAAUUGUCUUGCAAAAGCUCUGGUGGACAUUCCUGCAGUCAGCAUGCCAAUUGCACAUUUCCUCAAAGACAUCUGUGACAAAACUGCACAUUUUAAAGUGGCCUUUUAUUGUCCCCAGCACAAGGUGCACCUGUGUAAUGACCAUGCUGUUUGAUGAACUUCUUGAUAUGACACACCUGUCAGGUAGAUGGAUUAUCUUGGCAAAAGAGAAAUACUCACUAACAGGGACGCAAACAAAUUCAUGCACAUUUGAGAGUAAUAAGCUUUUUGCAUGUAUGGAAAAUUUCAGGAUUUUUUUUUUCAGCUCAUGAAACAUGGGACCAACACUUUACAUGUUGCAUUUAUAUUUUUGUUCAGUGUACAACGGUAACUUACCAGUUCACAGUCCACAGUAUACCAGCCCUCCCCUCCCACGGUCUACAACACCCUCCGCCCCUCCCUCCCUGUGCCCCAUCUGGCUGAAAAGUAAGUGCUUGUCUGGGAAGGCCGCCUCGGAUACCCUUCCUUCUUACAGUUUUUUUCAAUCCUUUUGUGCUAUUUUCACAAGUAUGUGGUGAAUUUUCUUAACACCGAAUGCAAAACUCAAAACAGGUCUUACAUUCGAAAUAAUUGAUUAUGCAUUUAUUUUAUUUGGAGAUAUCUUUCAUCACACAAUCAUAGAUCCAAAUACCAUGAGAACAUUGAUAUAAUCACCAAAUCAUAACAUAACAUCUUCUCAAUACACCAUACGUGUUUUAAUCAGGCUAGGGUCUAUUUUUCUCCACUUCCUGUCUGACUGACAUGCCCAAAGUAAACUGCCUGUUACUCAGGCCCAGAAGCCAGGACAUGCAUAUAAUUGGUACCGUUGGAUAGAAAACACUUUGAAGGUUGUAGACUGUUAAAAUAAUGUAAGAGACUAUAACACAAUUGAUAUUCUAGGACAAAAUCCAAAGAAAAACCAAACAGAAUCUUUUUUUUGAGAGCCCAUGCUCUUACAACGGAAAGCUAUGGGUUAUAUGCAAUUCCAGCUCCCAGAUUGCAAUUCCUAUGGCUUCUACUAGAUGUCAAAAGUCUUUAUUCAAGGUUUCAGGCUUGUUUCUUCCCAAACGAGGAAUAAUUUAGCGUUUUGAUACUGGGAGUUAGAGUUGGAAAUCAGUCUUUGUGCGUUCAACGAAGAUGAUGCGCGCUUAUUUUUCUUUUCUAUUGAACAUACUUAUUUCCGUAUGAAAUAUUAUAGUGUAAUGACAUUUUAGGGUACCUGAGGAAAUGUAUUUUGACUUGUUUUAACAAAGUUUAAAGGUAGCUUUUUGGAUUCCUUUCUCUGCAUGUUGAAGGAGGGGAUUACUCAAAUUGAUGGUGACUUUUUGGGAUAUAAAGAAGGAUUUUAUCUAACAACAUGACCAUGCAUGUUGUAGCUGGGACCCUUUGGAUUGUAAAUCAGAGGAAGAUUUCACAAAAGUAUGUGAAUAUUUAAUUGCUAUUUAAUUGCUAUUUGUGAUUUAUGAAGCCUGUGCUGGUUGAAUUUUUUUUGAUGUGGGGCGCCAUCCUCAAACAAUCGUAUGGCUUUCGCUGUGAAGCCUAUUAUCCAGCGGACAAUGCAGUUAGAUUAACAAUAAUAUACACUUUUAGCCGAUAUAAGACACUUGUAUGUACAGUUUGUCUGAAUUGAUGACAUUGCAUACCUCACCCAUGGUGAGGAGUGGGGUGGCGCGCUCAUGGGGAUGGCGAUCAUAAGGCCUUCCACCUGUAUUGUAAUCAUGUAUUGUUUACAGUACUGUAUUGGCCAAUGUAAUUUUAGUAAAGCAGUGUUAACAAUACAAACCUAAUUUCCAUUAUGUAGUUCUCAGCCUGUCAAUGGCAAUACAUUCCCCAAAGCCCAACACUGUCAACCAAGAGUCAAGUCUAAAUGAUGGUUUAUUUGGUAGUAUUUCGUAGUGUGAUUGAUUUGACUAUGAGUACUGUACAAAGUUAGAGGUGUGCUAUUUGAUAGGUUCUCCCGCUUCCAGUGGGGAGACCUGAGGUCAACCUACCCCCACCCCCCUCCCUCUGGCUUCCAGUGGGGAGACCUGAGGUCAACCUACCCCUACUCCCCUCCCCAUCUCUUACUUCUGAGUGUGACACCUUCCCAGGCAGUAGCCUGCCUAGCUCACAAACUAGAAUCAGGGCGCCCAAUCCGACAAUGUUAAUUGACCCACAGUCCCACAUGGUGACAUGAUAUCAUUGACGUGAUGUGCAAAUGAGCAAUAGAAAACCACUCAAAUGUCACCAUUCUGAUUUUUUUUGUGCGGGUGCCCCCUGACUGUAGGUGCCAAGGUCUGGAGGUCUCUGGAUGACAGAACAAGAUAGAUCUAUUUCAUAGAGGAUGUUUGUUUCUUUAUAAGAGGGAGGUCAUCCGCACGUUUUGGACAGUUGUUUGUCUGGGUUUGGUGCUGGCUUGGCGGGAGGUUGUGAUUAUAGGGUUUGCCAUGAGGGACUUAUAUUUUUGGCGUGCAACGGUUGGUAUGCAGUGGGGAUUGCUUCCUGGCAGCUACCACAUUGCACUUCACGUUCCCCCAUCGCAUCCCCUCACUGAGAUUGAUGCAUGUUGGUCAGUUGAGGGUCCCUCCCCUUCAGACUCAGACAGAGAGAAAAGACUGCGCUUCUUUCACAUGCAAAACAGGGGACGGAGUUACUUUGGACAACCCCGUUCCCCACCCGCCACUCAGUCAAGAUCCCACGGCUGAUACAAACAUGCUACCUCAUUAGUCAAGUGUGUUAUUAUAAUAAUCACUGACACCACCACUGCCCCGCCAUCUGUAAUCAACUAAAUCAAGAACCCUUUAUGAGUGCCCAGGAAAAAGAGAGAGAGAGAGAGAAGGUCAUAUACUUUCAACAGGGAAUGCUGAUUGGAAAUCUUUGUGGACUUCAAUUAUCUUGAUAAAUAUUGCAUUUUUUUACAGGCCAAGAUCACAAGGACAGCAGUUACACUCUUUCAUUUUGCUACAGCUCCCAGCAACAUAUACAGACAUUUCCUAACACUUAGUUACUCUAAAUUAUUUGGGGCAUGGACUACAAGUUGUCCAAAGCGUUCCACAGGGAUGCUGGCCCAUGGUGAUGCCAAUGCUUCCGACAUUUGUGUCAAGUUGUCUGGAUGUCCUUUGGGUGGUUAAUUAUAUUUGAUACACAUGGGAAAUUGUUGAGUGAAGUUCUUGACACACUUAAACCGGUGCGCCUCUGAAUGGCCCACAUACCCAAUCCAUGUCUCAAUUGUCUCAAGGCUUAAAGAUGCUUCUCUAACAUGUAUCCUCCCCUUCAUUUCCACUGAUUGAAGUGGAUGUCAUCAAUAAGAGAUCAUAGCUUUCACCUGGAUUUACCUAGUCAGUCUAUGUCAUGGAAAGAGCGGGUGUUCCUAAUGUUUUGUACACUCUGUGUAUUCCCUAUGUCUAGUAAAUACACUAUAUAUACAAAAGUAUGUGGACAACCCUUCAAAUUAGUGGAUAAUGGCCAUCUCAGACACACCGUUGCUGACAGGUGUAGAAAAUUGAGCACACAGCUAUGCAAUCUGCAUAGACAAGAAAAUGGAAAUAGAAUGGCCGUAGUGAAGAGCUCAGUGAUUUUCAACGUGGUGCCGUCAUAGGAUGACAGCUUUCCAACAAGUCAGUUCGUCAAAUUUCUGCCCUGCUAGAGCUGCCCCGGCCAACUGUAAGUGCUGUUAUUGGCACACAAGCUCAUAGAACAGGACCGCUUAAGCUUGUAGCGUGUGAAAAUCAUCUGUCCUCGGUUGCAACACUCACUACAAAGUUCCAAACUGCCUCUGGAAGCAAAGUCAGCUAAAUAACUGCUCAUUGGGAGCUUCAUGAAAUGGUUUUCCAUUGCUGAACAGCCAUACACAAGCCUAAGAUCACCAUGCGCAAUGCCAAGCGUUGGCUGGAGUGGUGUAAAACUUGUCUCCAUCGGACUCUGGAGCAGUGGAAACACAUUCCCUGGAGUGAUGAAUCACGCUUCACCAUCUGGCAGUCCGAUGGACAAAUCUGGGUUUGACGGAUGCCAGGAGAACAAUACCUGCCCGAAUGCAUAGUGUCAACUGUAAAGUUUGUUGGAGGAGUAAUAAUGGUCUGUUUUUUCAUGGUUUGGGUUUGGCCCCUUAGUUCCAGUGAAGAAAAGUCUUAAGGCUACAGCAUACAAUGACAUUCUAGACUCUUCUGUGCUUCCAAGUUUGUGGAAACAGUUUGGAGAAGGUCCUUUCCUGUUUCAGCAUGACAAUGCCCGCGUGCACGAACGGAGGUCAAAUGGUUUGUCGAGAUCGAUGCAGAAGAACUUGACUGGCCUGCACAGAGCUCUGACUUCAACUCCAUCGAACACCUUUGCAACAAAUUGGAGGGCCGACUGAGAGCCAGGCCUAAUCGCCCAACAUCAGUGCACAACCUCAGUAACGCUCUCGUGGCUGAAUGAAAGGAAGUCCCCACAGCAACAUUCUAACAUCUGCUGGAAAGCCUUCCCAGAAGAGUGGAGGCUGUUAUAGCAGCAAAGGAGGGACCAACUCCAUAUUAUUAAUACCCAUGAUUUUGGAAUGAUAUGUUUGCCAACCUACUUUUGGUAAUGUAGUGUAAUUCUGCAUUUCAGUGAAGUUAAUGAUGCUAGCAAUAGCCUAAACAUAUUCCAAUUCACGUCAUGUCACACGCUCUCUCUCUCGCUGUCUCUUGCUCUUUCCCCUCAACAAUGAAAUCUUCUGACAAAUCAAACUUGUAAACAACUAUCAACUAUCCAUAGCAAGCUGCUCUAUCCUCGCUAAUUGGAGGAGUAAAAAUGCGCUAAAUGUAAAAGCUAUGUACAGUGCCUUGCGAAAGUAUUCGGCUCCCUUGAACUUUGCGACCUUUUGCCACAUUUCAGGCUUCAAACAUAAAGAUAUAAAACUGUAUUUUUUUGUGAAGAAUCAACAACAAGUGGGACACAAUCAUGAAGUGGAACGACAUUUAUUGGAUAUUUCAAACUUUUUUAACAAAUCAAAAACUGAAAAAUUGGGCGUGCAAAAUUAUUCAGCCCCCUUAAGUUAAUACUUUGUAGCGACACCUUUUGCUGCGAUUACAGCUGUAAGUAGCUUGGGGUAUGUCUCUAUCAGUUUUGCACAUCGAGACUGAAAUUUUUUCCCAUUAGUCCUUGCAAAACAGCUCGAGCUCAGUGAGGUUGGAUGGAGAGCAUAUGUGAACAGCAUUUUCAGUUCUUUCCACAGAUUCUCGAAUGGAUUCAGGUCUGGACUUUGACUUGGCCAUUCUAACACCUGGAUAUGUUUAUUCCAUUGUAGAUUUUGCUUUAUGUUUUGGAUCAUUGUCUUGUUGGAAGACAAAUCUCCGUCCCAGUCUAAGGUCUUUUGCAGACUCCAUCAGGUUUUCUUCCAGAAUGGUGCUGUAUUUGGCUCCAUCCAUCAAUUUUAACCAUCUUCCCUGUCCCUGCUGAAGAAAAGCAGGCCCAAACCAUGAUGCUGCCACCACCAUGUUUGACAGUGGGGAUGGUGUGUUCAGGGUGAUGAGCUGUGUUGCUUUUACGCCAAACAUAACAUUUUGCAUUGUUGCCAAAAAGUUCAAUUUUGGUUUCAUCUGACCAGAGCACCUUCUUCCACAUGUUUGGUGUGUCUCCCAGGUGGCUUGUGGCAAACUUUAAAC